RNAcentral lists this ribosomal RNA (457 nucleotides) under uncultured bacterium. RNAcentral describes it as "bacterial SSU rRNA". It matches the Rfam family "Bacterial small subunit ribosomal RNA", at positions 30 to 479 of the family's 1533-position model. The record is from RNAcentral.
AUUGAACGCUGGCGGAAUGCUUUACACAUGCAAGUCGAACGGCAGCACGAGGGCAACCUUGGUGGCGAGUGGCGAACGGGUGAGUAAUACAUCGGAACGUGCCUAGUCGUGGGGGAUAACGUAGCGAAAGCUACGCUAAUACCGCAUACGAUCUAUGGAUGAAAGCGGGGGACCGUAAGGCCUCGCGCGAUUGGAGCGGCCGAUGGCAGAUUAGGUAGUUGGUGGGGUAAAGGCUCACCAAGCCUGCGAUCUGUAGCUGGUCUGAGAGGACGACCAGCCACACUGGAACUGAGACACGGUCCAGACUCCUACGGGAGGCAGCAGUGGGGAAUUUUGGACAAUGGACGCAAGUCUGAUCCAGCAAUGCCGCGUGCAGGACGAAGGCCUUCGGGUUGUAACUGCUUUUGUACUAGAACGAAAGGACUCUGGUUAAUACCUAGGGCGUCAUGACGGUACU